Molecule: long non-coding RNA, 2688 nt
Organism: Plodia interpunctella (Indianmeal moth)
Lineage: Eukaryota; Metazoa; Arthropoda; Insecta; Lepidoptera; Pyralidae
Exons: 2
Source: RefSeq, a predicted model, not a curated record
AUAUCGCUUAGUUAGAAUGAAACCGACUUAACUCAAAAAAUCUUUAAAUUGACUUAAGGUCAUCGAACGACUCUACACAUCGUAUUCUAUCGCAUAAUGAAUCAGAAACUGCCCCAACUGUGUUAGAAGAGUACGAACGCUCUAUUUUGGUCGCUUUCUAACUGAGCGCCGAGGGCUCCAGGGUCGGAACGUCAACGCCCCUUUUGGUGAUAUUUCCGCAACCGCAAGCGCAACACGUUGACCGAACGCAAAUAAAGUGACCGAUUGACGCUUGAGACAUUUUCAUUCCAAAAAAGGCUUUUUAUUUUAGGUCAUAAGAUUUUUUUUGUUAUUCGUGAAAGAUAAAACGGAGAACGCUCAUGAUUUUGGAAAAUGAUAGAAAAAGAAAGAAUGUGGACGAAGAAGUAAAUUAACAAAAGCAGCAGGUAAGCAUACUUCGUUUUAUAUUUCCUGAAAAUAUUUAAGUUCCGGUUUUGUUUAGAUUAUCAUUAUGUCAUUUUUCCUCACUUAAAGUCUUUUGUGAAACGUAUUUUAUGUGUUCUAUCACUUUUACUGAUAUUGAGCAUGUUGGUGUAUUAAAACAUCGGUAAGUAGGUAUACCUACUCAUAUGUGACUUGUCAAGGUUAGCGCGGGUUUAAGGUUGGUGGAGGUUGGAAGUAGAGUAAGCAUAAAAACACGAAUUGAAUGGUUAAUAUUGAGAGCAUAACAUAAUUUAUUAUUAACACAUAUUUUUGAGAUUUGGUUUGCUGCUUUUGAUGACAUGCACUCUAUUUUUUGCUUUUUCAGGAAACACAAUUUAAUAUAAAAAACAUUUCCCCGAAUGCGUCGUUUGAUAAAAACACGCCAGUUCUUGAAAAUCAUGCAUGAAGAACCUUACCGUUUGAAUCUAAUAGAGCCUGUAACUAUUUAUUUAUUUAAGUAUUUAUUUUUAGAAUGCGUUGCCAGAAAUUAUUAGAAGUAUGUAUAAUACUAAUUUAAACUAUUUUUUCAAAAUCGAAGAUCAUUAAUCACCUCUGUAAACAUUUUAGCCGUUUGAAUCUAUCUGAGACUGAAUACAAUUAUUAAUCUGUACCACAAGUAACAGUUAGGAGUACCCUGUAAUAGACUGGCAAAGACAAUAGUGACUGCUUAUCGUGCAGUAACACUUAUCAAUGAGCCUAAAAGGGACCCAGAUAGGUAUCUGGUGAGGUAAAUAAAAGUACCACUUUUCGAAGUUUCUCUUUCUUAAACUCGAUCGAUUCUCUAGCUACAAAUGAACAAAUAGCUAUCCAAGAACCUAAACAUAUAUACAUAUAAGCCAUAUGUAUAUAUGUUUAGGUUCUUGGAUCAGAAUCAUCAACAAGAACAUUUCAUCAGAAUCAUCAACAAGAACAUAAGAAUUCAGGAAGUGAUUUUAUUUCCCAGUCUUUAAUAUCAACUGAUACAGAACCACAACCCUCAGGCAGCGGCUGCUCAGGACAGAAUAAAAAUAAAUAUAUAACGUCAUUUUAUGCAUUAUAUAAUAGCGAAAUUUCACAUUGGGUCAAUAAUAAAUAAAUAUCUUAUUACUGGGCACACGCAAAAUGAGGACGAUAAUGUUCACUCCCUCAUUGAAAAAUAAAUAAAAAAAACUUAAAAUCGGGCCCAAUUUGUCCACCUUAUCGAUAUAUAAAUAUUAUAAGCUUAAUUAAGAGCUCUAAAAAUUGGGACACCUCUCAAGGUUCAGCAUUUUUCUUUAGCUAUGAGCUAUGAUACUAUGUUAGAUUUGAAAGCUUUGCAAAACGAGUGGGGCUACAAUUUCAAUGAGGACAAUGAUGACAAGGAGCAGAUUUUGUGGGGUGAUGUAAAAUACGCGUUUUAAGGUUUGUCUAAAAUGAACCUUUUGUAUUUUAUUAUAAGACCAGUUAUACUGAAGACAAAAGACUAGCGCGUCAACAUGAGAAACAAAAGGAAGAAGAUGCCUUGUGUUGAAAGUGUUUCGAGAAAACUGAAGUUAUCGGAAAAUACAAGAAAAGGUCUUAUGGAGUUAAGAAAAACAUUAAUACCUAAUUAUUAUGUAUAUUAUUAUCACAAUCUUAGGAAUAUUAGGUACUAUGAGUUUAUUUUGAUACAAAUUGUUACUGCUGUACAGGUGUAACAUUACCUUCGAUAUAGCCGAAACCCAUGUCAUCUCCCUAUUAAUAUGAACAUUUUCCCCCAAGAAUCCAUACCUGGAAUCAAUAGUUUCCGAGAUAAUGAAGUUGGAUUGAAUUUUUUUUUUGCAAAUUUAUAUAAUUUAUCAUGUAACCGUCAUUUCAUCCAAAGAAACCUCAUAAAAAUAUUAAAGAAUUCCCUAUCUAAACUAACGCUAAAAUUUAAAACGUGCAAUGAACAGUGCCCUUCGCAUCGCCGCAUAGCGCUUUCACUAUAGCGAUACACACACACAAACUAACGGCUCAUAGCUGAUUCGUGCGUGAGCGAUUGAUACGAUGCCGCAAUGUUCACUUAUUUUGAUUAUUUAUUAUUAUUUUUUAUAUUGUUUUUUUUUUUUAAUUUUCCCUGUCAAAUGAUUAUUCUGAAGUCACUUUAAUUGGGGUACCCUAUGCAUACCUAACGGCUAUGACGGAGGUAGUGGUAUACCUUGUAUAUGCCAAAUGCAGGCAGGCAGAACUCUGAACAAUACUAUAAAAUAUGUUAUUAUUUCAAUACAAUAAAUAACUUGAACACAA